Long non-coding RNA from Homo sapiens (human), 614 nucleotides. Ensembl annotates it as long intergenic non-protein coding RNA 1098. The record is from Ensembl. Lineage: Eukaryota; Metazoa; Chordata; Mammalia; Primates; Hominidae.
CAGCUAGAAUGAUGGAUUGUCAUCACUGGGGCACGGGAAAGGGGUUGAGCAAGUCAAUGUAUGUUUUCCAGAGCCUACAGAAUGUGUCUGAUUCUCUGAAGUAUAUUUUUUCUAAAUGCCAGGCAUCAUGUCAACAGGGACAAGAUGGUUCACCUAAUCAAUAAAGACUACAUCCAGCCAGAUAAGGACACAACCAGGUAUACUCUUCCACUAACAGUCCUUACCAGAGGACUCUGUGACCUUAAAAAGAGCAGGACGCCACCAAUUCAAAACCACUGUGUUAACAGACACCAUAUUGCUGUCACUUGUGAUAAGCACCUAGUAUCUGCUGCUGAAGGCUCUGCCUACAUCACAGACUCUUGAUGGACAGAUGGAUGACCCAGACCCAGGACAGGAUACUCUUUUUGUCCACGUCUCUCCCUGGACUGGUUAAAUUAACUCUUUUUCUGUCCCCUUUUACUUAAUGUUAAAUGUUACUUUGUUUGUUGUGAUAUGUUUAGUCUAUGACAUUUACAAAUUGAUUAAGUAUACUAUUUAUUUAUGGUUUGCAAUGUUGACCGACUUGUGGAGUGGCUUGAGCCUGUGGCUGUGACUACUGAGUGAACAGGACGGAU